UCGGUCACAGCCCAGAGCAUCCUCCUGCACCUCAAACCCCUCAUCCCCAGCCCCACCCCAGAGCCCGCACCUCCAGCCGGAGCCCUCAUGCUCUGCCUCAGUGUUAUAUAAUAUUGUUUGGGUGAACUACCAUCAGUUCCUCCUCUAUCACAGAGCUCGUUGAUAAGAACUCCAAAGCAGAAGCAGGAGGGCAAAUAGUGGAGCAUGCACAGGGACAUACAUCUCGAAGAACCACAGAUACUGCACAAGAGCAGUUCAUUUCUAAACUUUGGAACACUGAGGAGCCAUUGAGGUGGAGAACCUGAAGAUUGGGGUGGAAGAUCAGUCCCGCAUCUUGAGAGAGGAAGUGAGAAAUGGGCUGGAGAGUGUUUGGCAGGCAAAUUGCCAUUUGAGUAAGAUGUGUAAAUUCCCCAGGAACGGAACGUGGCUCUGGAAUCUUUUAAUGUUUGGUGGGAUUCUUCUGUUCUGUCUCCAAAUAA
Molecule: long non-coding RNA, 479 nt
Organism: Caretta caretta (loggerhead turtle)
Lineage: Eukaryota; Metazoa; Chordata; Testudines; Cheloniidae
Source: RefSeq, a predicted model, not a curated record